AUUGAACGCUGGCGGCAGGCCUCACACAUGCAAGUCGAGCGGAGCGGCGGACGGGUGAGUAAUGCCUAGGAAUCUGCCUGGUCGUGGGGGAUAACGUCCGGACCCGGGCGCUAAUCCCGCAUACUAUCAGAUUAGCCUAGGUCGGAUUAGCUAGUUGGUGGGGUAAAGGCCUACCAAGGCGACGAUCCGUAACUGGUCUGAGAGGAUGAGCAGUCACACUGGAACUGAGACACGGACCAGACUCCUACGGGAGGCAGCAGUGGGGAAGAGUGGACAAUGGGGGAAAGCCUGAUGCAACCAUGCCGCGUGUGGGAAGAAGGUCUUCGGAUUGUAAAGAACUUUAAGUUGGGAGGCGUUACCAACAGAAUAAGCACCGUCUAACUUCGUGACAGCAGCCGCGGUAAUAC
RNAcentral lists this ribosomal RNA (407 nucleotides) under uncultured bacterium. RNAcentral's name for it is "partial 16S ribosomal RNA". It matches the Rfam family "Bacterial small subunit ribosomal RNA", at positions 30 to 526 of the family's 1533-position model. The record is from RNAcentral.